This 298-nucleotide long non-coding RNA is filed under the name Solanum pimpinellifolium. Its description in RNAcentral is "long non-coding RNA (SPIM_LNC000157)". The record is from RNAcentral. Lineage: Eukaryota; Viridiplantae; Streptophyta; Magnoliopsida; Solanales; Solanaceae.
GACUGGGUUCUCACUCUAAGCCAGUACCAGUAAUUUGAAAAAACGAUAGACAUCUAGCGCAUUCACUCGUUUUUUCUUUCUGAUAGGCCAACUCAAAGAGGAUUAUCCAGGAACUGGAAGAUGGUUGGCGUGACACGCCUAAAUCCCCCACAAUCAAUCCACAAGGCUUCAGGCGAGUUGAGUGGCGCUUGUUGAAUACCUCUCUACGGCCUGUUCCAGGGAAUGCUCUAGUCUAUUUCUAACUAGUGGUGGAAAGAGCGCCCCCGGCUACGUGUCCUUUGGACCCUUCGCCCGCCCG